GGUUAAGCGAAUAAGCGUACACGGUGGAUGCCUAGGCAAUCAGAGGCGAUGAAGGACGUGCUAAUCUGCGAUAAGCGUCGGUAAGGUGAUAUGAACCGUUAUACCCGACGAUUUCCGAAUGGGGAAACCCAAUAUCCAAUGGAUAUUAUCAUGACGUGAAUACAUAGCGUCAUGAAGCGAACCGGGAGAACUGAAACAUCUCAGUACCCCGAGGAAAAGAAAUCAACCGAGAUUCCCCUAGUAGCGGCGAGCGAACGGGGAACAGCCCAGAGUCUUAAUCAACAGCAGCAUCAGGAGAACGGUCUGGAAAGUCCGGCAGUAAAGGGUGAUAGCCCCGUAUCUGAAGAUGCUGUUAUUGUGAACUCGACGAGUAGGGCGGGACACGUGUUAUCCUGUCUGAAUAUGGGGGGACCAUCCUCCAAGGCUAAAUACUCCUGAUUGACCGAUAGUGAACCAGUACCGUGAGGGAAAGGCGAAAAGAACCCCGGCGAGGGGAGUGAAAAAGAACCUGAAACCGUGUACGUACAAGCAGUAGGAGCCUCUUUAUGGGGUGACUGCGUACCUUUUGUAUAAUGGGUCAGCGACUUAUAUUCUGUAGCAAGGUUAACCGUAUAGGGGAGCCGUAGGGAAACCGAGUCUUAACUGGGCGAAUGAGUUGCAGGGUAUAGACCCGAAACCCGGUGAUCUAUCCAUGGGCAGGUUGAAGGUUGGGUAACACUAACUGGAGGACCGAACCGACUAAUGUUGAAAAAUUAGCGGAUGACUUGUGGAUGGGGGUGAAAGGCCAAUCAAACCGGGAGAUAGCUGGUUCUCCCCGAAAGCUAUUUAGGUAGCGCCUCGUGAACUCAUCUUCGGGGGUAGAGCACUGUUUCGACUAGGGGGUCAUCCCGACUUACCAACUCGAUGCAAACUGCGAAUACCGAAGAAUGUUAUCACGGGAGACACACGGCGGGUGCUAACGUCCGUCGUGAAGAGGGAAACAACCCAGACCGCCAGCUAAGGUCCCAAAGUCAUGGUUAAGUGGGAAACGAAGUGGGAAGGCUCAGACAGCCAGGAUGUUGGCUUAGAAGCAGCCAUCAUUUAAAGAAAGCGUAAUAGCUCACUGGUCGAGUCGGCCCGCGCGGAAGAUGUAACGGGGCUAAACCAUGCACCGAAGCUGCGGCAGCGACACUUAUGUGUUGUUGGGUAGGGGAGCGUUCUGUAAGCCUGCGAAGGUGUACUGUGAGGUAUGCUGGAGGUAUCAGAAGUGCGAAUGCUGACAUAAGUAACGAUAAUGCGGGUGAAAAACCCGCACGCCGGAAGACCAAGGGUUCCUGUCCAACGUUAAUCGGGGCAGGGUGAGUCGACCCCUAAGGCGAGGCUGAAAAGCGUAGUCGAUGGGAAACGGGUUAAUAUUCCCGUACUGGUGGUAACUGCGAUGGGGGAACGGAGAAGGCUAGGUUGUCCGGGCGACGGUCGUCCCGGUUCAAGCAUGUAGGCAGAGUGAUUAGGCAAAUCCGGUCACUUAAUGCUGAGGUGUGAUGACGAGCCACUAAGGUGGUGAAGCAAUUGAUGCCCUGCUUCCAGGAAAAGCCUCUAAGCUUCAGGUUACCAACAAUCGUACCCCAAACCGACACAGGUGGUCAGGUAGAGAAUACUCAGGCGCUUGAGAGAACUCGGGUGAAGGAACUAGGCAAAAUGGUGCCGUAACUUCGGGAGAAGGCACGCUGGCGGUAAGUGAAGUCCCUUGCGGACGGAGCCGAAGCCAGUCGAAGAUACCAGCUGGCUGCAACUGUUUAUUAAAAACACAGCACUGUGCAAACACGAAAGUGGACGUAUACGGUGUGACGCCUGCCCGGUGCUGGAAGGUUAAUUGAUGGGGUUAUCCGUAAGGAGAAGCUCUUGAUCGAAGCCCCAGUAAACGGCGGCCGUAACUAUAACGGUCCUAAGGUAGCGAAAUUCCUUGUCGGGUAAGUUCCGACCUGCACGAAUGGCGUAAUGAUGGCCAGGCUGUCUCCACCCGAGACUCAGUGAAAUUGAACUCGCUGUGAAGAUGCAGUGUACCCGCGGCAAGACGGAAAGACCCCGUGAACCUUUACUAUAGCUUGACACUGAACAUUGAGCCUUGAUGUGUAGGAUAGGUGGGAGACUUUGAAGUGUGGACGCCAGUCUGCAUGGAGUCAACCUUGAAAUACCACCCUUUAACGUUUGAUGUUCUAACCUAGGUCCAUAAUCUGGAUCGGGGACCGUGUCUGGUGGGUAGUUUGACUGGGGCGGUCUCCUCCUAAAGAGUAACGGAGGAGCACGAAGGUUGGCUAAGCAUGGUCGGACAUCAUGCGGUUAGUGCAAAGGCAUAAGCCAGCUUGACUGUGAGAGUGACGGCUCGAGCAGGUACGAAAGUAGGUCUUAGUGAUCCGGUGGUUCUGAAUGGAAGGGCCAUCGCUCAACGGAUAAAAGGUACUCCGGGGAUAACAGGCUGAUACCGCCCAAGAGUUCAUAUCGACGGCGGUGUUUGGCACCUCGAUGUCGGCUCAUCACAUCCUGGGGCUGAAGUAGGUCCCAAGGGUAUGGCUGUUCGCCAUUUAAAGUGGUACGCGAGCUGGGUUUAGAACGUCGUGAGACAGUUCGGUCCCUAUCUGCCGUGGGCGUUGGAAGAUUGAGAGGGGUUGCUCCUAGUACGAGAGGACCGGAGUGAACGCACCACUGGUGUUCGGGUUGUCAUGCCAAUGGCAUUGCCCGGUAGCUAAGUGCGGAAGAGAUAACCGCUGAAAGCAUCUAAGCGGGAAACUUGCCUCGAGAUGAGUCUUCCCUGUCACCUUGAGUGACCUAAAGGAACGUUUAAGACUAAGACGUUGAUAGGCUGGGUGUGUAAGCGUAGCGAUACGUUGAGCUAACCAGUACUAAUGAACCGUGAGGCUUAACCUG
RNAcentral lists this ribosomal RNA (2904 nucleotides) under Proteus vulgaris. RNAcentral describes it as "23S ribosomal RNA". It matches the Rfam family "Bacterial large subunit ribosomal RNA". The record is from RNAcentral. Lineage: Bacteria; Pseudomonadati; Pseudomonadota; Gammaproteobacteria; Enterobacterales; Morganellaceae.